RNAcentral lists this microRNA precursor (115 nucleotides) under Canis lupus familiaris (dog). Its description in RNAcentral is "mir-8834 microRNA precursor family". It matches the Rfam family "mir-8834 microRNA precursor family". Lineage: Eukaryota; Metazoa; Chordata; Mammalia; Carnivora; Canidae. RNAcentral also lists the same sequence under 1 other name. The record is from Rfam by way of RNAcentral.
AGGAGGAACAACCCCAGUGGCGGUGGCCAGCUCUGGAGCCCUGGAGUCAGCCCCCGCAGUAACUGCAGUAACUACGGAGCUCUCUGUCCACAGGGCCUGGAGGCUCCGGGCCGGG